GACGAACGUUGGCGGCGUGCUUAAUACAUGCAAGUCAACUGAAGCAGUGGUAGCAAUAUCGCUGUGGAGGUGGCGCACGGGUGAGUAACACGUAGGUAAUCUGCCUUCAGGUCUGGCAUAACUCCGGGAAACCGGGGCUAAUAGCAGAUGAUGCAGCGGCUCGACAUCGAGACAGUUGUUAAAGCUAUGGCGCCUGAAGAUGAGCCUGCGUCUGAUUAGCUAGUUGGCGGGGUAACGGCCCACCAAGGCAACGAUCAGUAGCUGGUCUGAGAGGAUGAUCAGCCACACUGGAACUGAGACACGGUCCAGACUCCUACGGGAGGCAGCAGUAAGGAAUAUUGCUCAAUGGGAGAAAUCCUGAAGCAGCAACGCCGCGUGAGGGACGAAGGGCUUUUGCUUGUAAACCUCUGUAGUGAGAGAAAAAAAUCCCAAUCUUUGGGACAUGAUGGUAUCCCAAAAGUAAGCCCCGGCUAACUACGUG
Molecule: ribosomal RNA, 481 nt
Filed under: uncultured bacterium
Lineage: Bacteria
Description: partial 16S ribosomal RNA
Rfam family: Bacterial small subunit ribosomal RNA
Source: RNAcentral